UGCCUAAUACAUGCAAGUCGAACGAACUCUGGUAUUGAUUGGUGCUUGCAUCAUGAUUUACAUUUGAGUGAGUGGCGAACUGGUGAGUAACACGUGGGAAACCUGCCCAGAAGCGGGGGAUAACACCUGGAAACAGAUGCUAAUACCGCAUAACAACUUGGACCGCAUGGUCCGAGCUUGAAAGAUGGCUUCGGCUAUCACUUUUGGAUGGUCCCGCGGCGUAUUAGCUAGAUGGUGGGGUAACGGCUCACCAUGGCAAUGAUACGUAGCCGACCUGAGAGGGUAAUCGGCCACAUUGGGACUGAGACACGGCCCAAACUCCUACGGGAGGCAGCAGUAGGGAAUCUUCCACAAUGGACGAAAGUCUGAUGGAGCAACGCCGCGUGAGUGAAGAAGGGUUUCGGCUCGUAAAACUCUGUUGUUAAAGAAGAACAUAUCUGAGAGUAACUGUUCAGGUAUUGACGGUAUUUAACCAGAAAGCCACGGCUAACUACGUGCCAGCAGCCGCGGUAAUACGUAGGUGGCAAGCGUUGUCCGGAUUUAUUGGGCGUAAAGCGAGCGCAGGCGGUUUUUUAAGUCUGAUGUGAAAGCCUUCGGCUCAACCGAAGAAGUGCAUCGGAAACUGGGAAACUUGAGUGCAGAAGAGGACAGUGGAACUCCAUGUGUAGCGGUGAAAUGCGUAGAUAUAUGGAAGAACACCAGUGGCGAAGGCGGCUGUCUGGUCUGUAACUGACGCUGAGGCUCGAAAGUAUGGGUAGCAAACAGGAUUAGAUACCCUGGUAGUCCAUACCGUAAACGAUGAAUGCUAAGUGUUGGAGGGUUUCCGCCCUUCAGUGCUGCAGCUAACGCAUUAAGCAUUCCGCCUGGGGAGUACGGCCGCAAGGCUGAAACUCAAAG
Molecule: ribosomal RNA, 897 nt
Filed under: Lactiplantibacillus plantarum
Lineage: Bacteria; Bacillati; Bacillota; Bacilli; Lactobacillales; Lactobacillaceae
Description: bacterial SSU rRNA
Rfam family: Bacterial small subunit ribosomal RNA
Source: RNAcentral